RNAcentral lists this ribosomal RNA (454 nucleotides) under Arthrobacter sp. Its description in RNAcentral is "bacterial SSU rRNA". It matches the Rfam family "Bacterial small subunit ribosomal RNA", at positions 993 to 1446 of the family's 1533-position model. Lineage: Bacteria; Bacillati; Actinomycetota; Actinomycetes; Micrococcales; Micrococcaceae. The record is from RNAcentral.
GACCGGGCUGGAAACAGUCCUUCCCCUUUGGGGCCGGUUCACAGGUGGUGCAUGGUUGUCGUCAGCUCGUGUCGUGAGAUGUUGGGUUAAGUCCCGCAACGAGCGCAACCCUCGUUCCAUGUUGCCAGCGCGUAAUGGCGGGGACUCAUGGGAGACUGCCGGGGUCAACUCGGAGGAAGGUGGGGACGACGUCAAAUCAUCAUGCCCCUUAUGUCUUGGGCUUCACGCAUGCUACAAUGGCCGGUACAAAGGGUUGCGAUACUGUGAGGUGGAGCUAAUCCCAAAAAGCCGGUCUCAGUUCGGAUUGGGGUCUGCAACUCGACCCCAUGAAGUCGGAGUCGCUAGUAAUCGCAGAUCAGCAACGCUGCGGUGAAUACGUUCCCGGGCCUUGUACACACCGCCCGUCAAGUCACGAAAGUUGGUAACACCCGAAGCCGGUGGCCUAACCCCUUGU